UACGUAGGGUGCAGGCGUUAAUCGGAAUUACUGGGCGUAAAGCGUGCGCAGGCGGUCUUUUAAGUCAGAUGUGAAAUCCCCGGGCUUAACCUGGGAACUGCGUUUGAAACUGGAAGGCUAGAGUGCGGUAGGGGAGCGGGGAAUUCCUGGUGUAGCGGUGAAAUGCGCAGAUAUCGGGAGGAACACCAAUGGCGAAGGCAGCUCGCUGGGACGGUACUGACGCUGAGACGCGAAAGCGUGGGGAGCAAACAGG
This 253-nucleotide ribosomal RNA is filed under the name uncultured bacterium. Its description in RNAcentral is "partial 16S ribosomal RNA". It matches the Rfam family "Bacterial small subunit ribosomal RNA", at positions 524 to 776 of the family's 1533-position model. The record is from RNAcentral.